This is a small nucleolar RNA of Impatiens glandulifera, 149 nucleotides long. RefSeq annotates it as small nucleolar RNA snoR145. The record is from RefSeq and is a predicted model, not a curated record. The transcript has a single exon. NCBI's taxonomy places the organism in Eukaryota, Viridiplantae, Streptophyta, Magnoliopsida, Ericales, Balsaminaceae.
UUUCGAAGGUCCCAGCAGGGAGGAAGCUCUAUUAACGAGACCUCUCUAACACUAAUCUAUUACCUUCGUAAAGUUAUUAUUAGACGAACUGAAAGACGCACCAAAUCAUUUUCAUUAUUGGCGUGUUUAGAAAUCUCGGCUACAUCUUA